This 388-nucleotide ribosomal RNA is filed under the name uncultured bacterium. RNAcentral describes it as "bacterial SSU rRNA". It matches the Rfam family "Bacterial small subunit ribosomal RNA", at positions 30 to 416 of the family's 1533-position model. The record is from RNAcentral.
AUUGAACGCUGGCGGCAUGCCUUACACAUGCAAGUCGAACGGCAGCACGGGAGCUUGCUCCUGGUGGCGAGUGGCGAACGGGUGAGUAAUACAUCGGAACGUACCCUGAAGUGGGGGAUAACGUAGCGAAAGUUACGCUAAUACCGCAUAUUCUGUGAGCAGGAAAGAGGGGGAUCGCAAGACCUCUUGCUUUAGGAGCGGCCGAUGUCGGAUUAGCUAGUUGGUGAGGUAAAGGCUCACCAAGGCGACGAUCCGUAGCGGGUCUGAGAGGAUGAUCCGCCACACUGGGACUGAGACACGGUCCAGACUCCUACGGGAGGCAGCAGUGGGGAAUUUUGGACAAUGGGGGCAACCCUGAUCCAGCCAUGCCGCGUGAGUGAAGAAGGCC